GACGAACGCUGGCGGCGUGCUUAACACAUGCAAGUCGAACGGUGAACCUCUUCGGAGGGGAUCAGUGGCGAACGGGUGAGUAACACGUGGGCAACCUGCCCCCGGCUCUGGGAUAACUCCAAGAAAUUGGGGCUAAUACCGGAUGUUCACCGCUUCCCGCAUGGGUGGUGGUGCAAAGGGUUUCCGGCUGGGGAUGGGCCCGCGGCCUAUCAGCUUGUUGGUGGGGUAGUGGCCUACCAAGGCGACGACGGGUAGCCGGCCUGAGAGGGUGACCGGCCACACUGGGACGGAGACACGGCCCAGACUCCUACGGGAGGCAGCAGUGGGGAAUAUUGCGCAAUGGGCGGAAGCCUGACGCAGCGACGCCGCGUGGGGGAUGACGGCCUUCGGGUUGUAAACCUCUUUCAGCAGGGACGAAGCGCAAGUGACGGUACCUGCAGAAGAAGCACCGGCCAACUACGUG
RNAcentral lists this ribosomal RNA (463 nucleotides) under uncultured bacterium. RNAcentral describes it as "partial 16S ribosomal RNA". It matches the Rfam family "Bacterial small subunit ribosomal RNA", at positions 28 to 507 of the family's 1533-position model. The record is from RNAcentral.